GUCACAGUGGUGCAGUGGGUAGCAUUGGAGCCUCACAGCUCCAGAAUCCCCAGUUCAAUCCUGAGCUCAGUUU
Molecule: non-coding RNA, 73 nt
Organism: Pangasianodon gigas (Mekong giant catfish)
Lineage: Eukaryota; Metazoa; Chordata; Actinopteri; Siluriformes; Pangasiidae
Source: the annotation of a GenBank genome assembly